RNAcentral lists this ribosomal RNA (708 nucleotides) under uncultured bacterium. RNAcentral's name for it is "bacterial SSU rRNA". It matches the Rfam family "Bacterial small subunit ribosomal RNA", at positions 8 to 761 of the family's 1533-position model. The record is from RNAcentral.
AGAGUUUGAUCAUGGCUCAGAACGAACGCUGGCGGCAGGCCUAACACAUGCAAGUCGAGCGAACCCUUCGGGGUUAGCGGCAGACGGGUGAGUAACGCGUGGGAACCUACCCAGUGGUACGGAAUAGCCCAGGGAAACUUGGGGUAAUACCGUAUACGCCCGAGAGGGGAAAGAUUUAUCGCCAUUGGAUGGGCCCGCGUCGGAUUAGCUAGUUGGUGGGGUAACGGCCUACCAAGGUGACGAUCCGUAGCUGGUCUGAGAGGAUGAUCAGCCACACUGGGACUGAGACACGGCCCAGACUCCUACGGGAGGCAGCAGUGGGGAAUCUUGGACAAUGGGCGAAAGCCUGAUCCAGCCAUGGCCGCGUGAGUGACGAAGGUCUUCGGAUUGUAAAGCUCUUUUGGCGGGGAAGAUAAUGACGGUACCCGCAGAAUAAGCCCCGGCUAACUUCGUGCCAGCAGCCGCGGUAAUACGAAGGGGGCUAGCGUUGUUCGGAAUCACUGGGCGUAAAGCGCACGUAGGCGGAUUUACCAGUCAGGGGUGAAAUCCCGGGGCUCAACCUCGGAACUGCCUCAGAUACAGUAAGUCUAGAGUCCGGGAGAGGUGAGUGGAAUUCCUAGUGUAGAGGUGAAAUUCGUAGAUAUUAGGAGGAACACCAGUGGCGAAGGCGGCUCACUGGCCCGGUACUGACGCUGAGGUGCGAAAGCG